UUGUGGAUAAUCAAUGGGUUCUCAACAAUUGUCCUCUUAUCACUGUUGCAAUCAUGACCCUUGCCGUGAUGGCCAUGAAGUUAAGCUGUAUGAGUGUUCUGCAUUGAAGUUGCGGAGGUGGUAGCAUCCUGCGUUGUUCUUUGCAAGUCUGAUACACUUGACUAAAAAGUCUACAAUUCAUCUUCUUCGUCGAUUCAGUAUCAUUCCAUUUGUCACACAGUGAGUUAACUCAGAGGAGCUGAGAAAGUGGAGUUUCUAAAGUCAGAGGGUGUGGAUCAUAUUGUUGAUAUCAGCAAAGAAGGUGUUAUUGAAAGUGUGAAGGCGUUUUUGAAAACAAGACAGCUCUAAGGGGUUGAUGUUUUAUAUGAUCCAGUUGGAGGCAAGACUGCAAAAGAAAGCUUAAAGGUGUUGAGUUGGGGAGCACAGAUUUUGGUUAUCGGGUUCACGAGUGGGGUGGUCCCAGUUAUUCCUGUUAAUAUUGCUCUUGUUUAGAAUUGGACGGUUAUUUUUGUAGUUUUGGGCAUCAUUGUUCCACUAUCUGUUUGUAUUGGGGCGCUGGGUUUGAAGUGUCUUGCUU
Molecule: long non-coding RNA, 577 nt
Filed under: Helianthus annuus (common sunflower)
Lineage: Eukaryota; Viridiplantae; Streptophyta; Magnoliopsida; Asterales; Asteraceae
Description: hypothetical non coding rna
Source: RNAcentral